UGCAAGUCGAGCGGUAGAGAGAAGCUUGCUUCUCUUGAGAGCGGCGGACGGGUGAGUAAUGCCUAGGAAUCUGCCUGGUAGUGGGGGAUAACGUUCGGAAACGGACGCUAAUACCGCAUACGUCCUACGGGAGAAAGCAGGGGACCUUCGGGCCUUGCGCUAUCAGAUGAGCCUAGGUCGGAUUAGCUAGUUGGUGGGGUAAUGGCUCACCAAGGCGACGAUCCGUAACUGGUCUGAGAGGAUGAUCAGUCACACUGGAACUGAGACACGGUCCAGACUCCUACGGGAGGCAGCAGUGGGGAAUAUUGGACAAUGGGCGAAAGCCUGAUCCAGCCAUGCCGCGUGUGUGAAGAAGGUCUUCGGAUUGUAAAGCACUUUAAGUUGGGAGGAAGGGCCGUUACCUAAUACGUGAUGGUUUUGACGUUACCGACAGAAUAAGCACCGGCUAACUCUGUGCCAGCAGCCGCGGUAAUACAGAGGGUGCAAGCGUUAAUCGGAAUUACUGGGCGUAAAGCGCGCGUAGGUGGUUUGUUAAGUUGGAUGUGAAAUCCCCGGGCUCAACCUGGGAACUGCAUUCAAAACUGACUGACUAGAGUAUGGUAGAGGGUGGUGGAA
This 615-nucleotide ribosomal RNA is filed under the name Pseudomonas sp. c43(2012). RNAcentral describes it as "bacterial SSU rRNA". It matches the Rfam family "Bacterial small subunit ribosomal RNA", at positions 56 to 666 of the family's 1533-position model. Lineage: Bacteria; Pseudomonadati; Pseudomonadota; Gammaproteobacteria; Pseudomonadales; Pseudomonadaceae. The record is from RNAcentral.